CAAACGUAACAGCAAAUAGGUGCCUCGUCUUUUCUCAAAAAGAUCGGGUGAAAAGGGAAGUCGGUGAAAAUCCGACGCGGUCCCGCCACUGUAAAUCGGCUCGUUCCUCAGCCGUAAGCCAGGAGACCUGCCUGUUUGUUUUUGUGCCU
This 149-nucleotide non-coding RNA is filed under the name Brevibacillus brevis. Lineage: Bacteria; Bacillati; Bacillota; Bacilli; Caryophanales; Paenibacillaceae. The record is from RNAcentral. RNAcentral also lists the same sequence under 1 other name.